Molecule: long non-coding RNA, 1227 nt
Organism: Hordeum vulgare subsp. vulgare (domesticated barley)
Lineage: Eukaryota; Viridiplantae; Streptophyta; Magnoliopsida; Poales; Poaceae
Exons: 5
Source: RefSeq, a predicted model, not a curated record
GUCUAUAUACAUCCAUAUGUAGUUCACUAGUGAAAUCUCUUUAAAGACUUAUAUUUAGGAACGGAGGGAGUACAAGGCAAGCAAUUGAACUACGGAAUUUUUUCAUAGUUGUAAGCAAGUAAUUUAAUCUUUGCAUUUGAAGCACCAAAAAGGAGUAUUGCCUCCGUUCCAAAACAGAUAAUUUUCUAGAAAGCGUGCCUUUAAACUUUGCUUUAGCUUUUACUAAAUAUUCAGAAAGAUUAUCAAGGUUAGCCAAUCAAACUAGUAUCAUGCGGUUUUUUGUGCAAAACACAUUUCAUACCUCUGUAAUGAAUUUGUUCUUUGUACUAAUGCAUUUGUAUAAAAAGAUAACUAUCGAUGCCAUGUCUUGGAGAUCAUUUGAGAUCGUUGCCCGAGUUUCUUCUGAAGCUGUAUUUGAAGCUAAAAGGAUGGAGCUUCUAUUUCGUUCGUUGAUUGACAUUUUAUUCCCGCACCAUCAGAAAUGCAGGCCGAAGCGAUGGCAUGAAUGAUUGAUGUAAUUGCAUCUCAAUAAGAACUAUUUGGUGCAUAGUAUUCAGAGUGAUGGUUUUGAUAUUGGACAUUUGAAUAAAUAAUCUAAUGGAGACUACUUUUUAUAUUAUAAAAGCUGAAACUAGCAUUGGAUAAAAGUUGGACACAUGCAGAGAGUUGCUUUGUGGAGUAAUCACCGGUGUCAAGCUUCCAUAAGUGGGCUGUUGUCAUGACCUUAAUAGUACAAAGCUUCGCUUUGUAUAAAUUCUGCUGUUCUUUCGAGAGCACAGGGAAAUGUAUGAGGUGCACCAAUUUUCCUAUUUUGUUGUUGCUUGUGUAUUCAAGUGUAUGUGGGCUUAACAUUGAUCACUAUUUGAACCAGGAGCUUUCCCUUGUUAGGAAUAUAAGAUGAAGCUGCCUCAUUGCCUUGAUCCUUUGGAAGAAACACAUACAAGAUGACCAAGAACCAUGAAGUUGGCAGUUUGCGUUAUAACUGUGUAAGGGAGCAUACUAUGAAUCGUGUGACAUGCAUCUAUUAUCUAUCAUUGUGUAAACAUAUAUGGUGUCUCGGUCAACUGGAUAUUCUGUGUAGUGGAGCAAACAUGAUUCGUAGGACAUGCAUCUACUAGCUAUCAUUUUGUAAACCCAUCUGGUGUUUCGGUCACUGAACCAUAAAUGUUUUGUUAAUUGGUUACCUCCUUCAUUUGUGAGAAUUAAUUAAUGUGCUAUUUUCAUUUA